RNAcentral lists this ribosomal RNA (254 nucleotides) under uncultured bacterium. RNAcentral's name for it is "partial 16S ribosomal RNA". It matches the Rfam family "Bacterial small subunit ribosomal RNA", at positions 524 to 776 of the family's 1533-position model. The record is from RNAcentral.
UACAGAGGGGGCAAGCGUUAUUCGGAAUUACUGGGCGUAAAGGGCUCGUAGGCGGCCAACUAAGUCAGACGUGAAAUCCCUCGGCUUAACCGGGGAACUGCGUCUGAUACUGGAUGGCUUGAGUUUGGGAGAGGGAUGCGGAAUUCCAGGUGUAGCGGUGAAAUGCGUAGAUAUCUGGAGGAACACCGGUGGCGAAGGCGGCAUCCUGGACCAACACUGACGCUGAGUGAGCGAAAGCCAGGGGAGCAAACGGG